Molecule: long non-coding RNA, 1008 nt
Filed under: Heterocephalus glaber (naked mole-rat)
Lineage: Eukaryota; Metazoa; Chordata; Mammalia; Rodentia; Bathyergidae
Description: lncRNA (ENSHGLG00000034410.1)
Source: RNAcentral
GUCCAGUUCUAGUUUAUUGUGGAGGGAAAUGGGGGACAUGGAGCAAAUCCAGACAGACCCUCUCCUCUCCUUUCAGCAAGGACUCAGUGAGGUGAAAUGGGUCUGAGGAGGCCAAAGACUACGACAGGAGGCCAAAGCAGAAGGCUGGGACAGGAGAGGGGCUAGAGACAGCGAGGAAGGGACACCAGACUGCCACGUUAGGAAAUCGGCAAAGACACCCUUCCUGCUGAAAGGCCAGUGUGGCACUGAGUCUUAGAGACAGGCCUAAGGGGAUACGGUACCAGGUCUGAGUGGACAUGGCAGGUGACCACUGGAGGGGGUGUGGAGCACUCAGAUGAUGGUUCCUCUGUGCCCUUCUCUCGUCUGGAUAGGCAGAAUCUAUGCUUGAGUUUUUCUAGGAGGCAGAAAGAGCAGUGCAGGAUGGGGGGUGGCGUGAAACCUAAAUCGUACAGAUGCUGGAGGUACAAAGGAGGGAAGCCCAGGAGGCCACAGGACCACAGGGUGAGGGUACUGCAGGAGGCUGGGGGUGAGGGGCAUUGAACGCGCUGUGGUGUGGGAAGGGGAAGGAGUCAGGGUCCAGCCCUGGGUAGAUCCAGAAGUCCUGAGCUGCCGAAGAACAAGUACCUAUGGCACAGGUCAGCCACGGACAAGCCUAGCUCCAGGGGCAGGGUGGCCAGGGGUCUAGGCCUUCAGGUUCCUUCCCAGCAUGGAAGCUAGGCAGGGGCAAGGAGAGGUUUAGGGCCUGGUAGAACUGGCAGACCUGGGCGUUGGACAGAGGCAGGGCCAGGGCCUUCUCGGAGAGCUCAGGCAGGGAGCUCUGGAGCUGGGGACUGGUCCAGGAGUUGCAGUAAUUGUACUGACAGCCAUGGGCCUGAUACCAGUGCUGUGAGAAGUAGGUGCUACGCGUUUCUUGGCAGUGGUAGGAACUAAUCUGUCCACAGCCUCAGAUGUUGAAGCGGACACUGACCUGCAGAGCAAAGGGGACGGCUGUAGCCCCUGAUAGUAGCC